GCGACGCCGAGCGGAACCCGAAAAGCCGUCUCAGUUCGGAUUGGAGUCUGCAACCCGACUCCAUGAAGCUGGAUUCGCUAGUAAUCGCGCAUCAGCCACGGCGCGGUGAAUACGUUCCCGGGCCUUGUACACACCGCCCGUCAAGCCAUGGGAGCCGGGAGUGCCUGAAGUACGUGACCGCAAGGAGCGUCCUAGGGUAAGACCGGUGACUGGGGUUAAGUCGUAACAAGGUACC
This 235-nucleotide ribosomal RNA is filed under the name uncultured bacterium. Its description in RNAcentral is "partial 16S ribosomal RNA". It matches the Rfam family "Bacterial small subunit ribosomal RNA", at positions 1257 to 1500 of the family's 1533-position model. The record is from RNAcentral.